AUCGCUUCUUGGCCUUUUGGCUAAGAUCAAGUGUAAAGUCGAAGAGUUUCCAGUACAUAUUUUGCCGUCAACCAUAGUAGAUCCAUUUUCCCAGAUACAAUGUUGGGAACUUUAUACUUUCAUUUUAUUCUCCAUGAUAUAUUUUGAAGCUUUCUUCAUUUUGUUAUUUGGAUGAUCGCUUUUCAUUCUACCCCU
This is a small nuclear RNA of Rhinolophus ferrumequinum (greater horseshoe bat), 195 nucleotides long. Its record names the gene U2. It matches the Rfam family "U2 spliceosomal RNA". From Rfam's summary of the family: U2 is a small nuclear RNA (snRNA) component of the spliceosome (involved in pre-mRNA splicing). Complementary binding between U2 snRNA (in an area lying towards the 5' end but 3' to hairpin I) and the branchpoint sequence (BPS) of the intron results the bulging out of an unpaired adenosine, on the BPS, which initiates a nucleophilic attack at the intronic 5' splice site, thus starting the first of two transesterification reactions that mediate splicing. Lineage: Eukaryota; Metazoa; Chordata; Mammalia; Chiroptera; Rhinolophidae. The record is from Ensembl.